AGCAGCCGCGGUAAUUCCAGCUCCAAUAGCGUAUAUUAAAGUUGUUGCAGUUAAAAAGCUCGUAGUUGAAUUUCGGGACUAAUAUGUCGGUCGUGCCUCGGUACGUACUGGUUUAUUGGUUUCUCCUUUCUGAAGAACCAUGAUGUCAUUUAUUUGGUGUCGUGGGGAAUCAGGACUGUUACUUUGAAAAAAUUAGAGUGUUUAAAGCAGGCUCACGCUUGAAUACAUUAGCAUGGAAUAAUGAAAUAGGACGUUUGAUUCUAUUUUGUUGGUUUCUAGGAUCGACGUAAUGAUUAAUAGGGAUAGUUGGGGGCAUUAGUAUUCAAUUGUCAGAGGUGAAAUUCUUGGAUUUAUUGAAGACUAACUACUGCGAAAGCAUUUGCCAAGGAUGUUUUCAUUAAUCAAGAACGAAAGUUAGGGGAUCGAAGACGAUCAGAUACCGUCGUAGUCUUAACCAUAAACUAUGCCGACUAGGGAUCGGAUGAUGUUAAUUUUUUAAUGACUCAUUCGGCGUCUUACG
RNAcentral lists this unclassified non-coding RNA (520 nucleotides) under uncultured Glomus. RNAcentral describes it as "SSU rRNA". It matches the Rfam family "Eukaryotic small subunit ribosomal RNA", at positions 569 to 1092 of the family's 1831-position model. The record is from RNAcentral. Lineage: Eukaryota; Fungi; Glomeromycota; Glomeromycetes; Glomerales; Glomeraceae.